CCGGCGACCGGCGCACGGGUGAGUAACGCGUAUGCAACCUGCCCUCUUCAGGGGGACAACCUUCCGAAAGGGAGGCUAAUCCCGCGUAUAUCGGUUUCGGGCAUCCGAGAUCGAGGAAAGAUUCAUCGGAAGAGGAUGGGCAUGCGGCGCAUUAGCUAGACGGCGGGGUAACGGCCCACCGUGGCGACGAUGCGUAGGGGUUCUGAGAGGAAGGUCCCCCACACUGGUACUGAGACACGGACCAGACUCCUACGGGAGGCAGCAG
RNAcentral lists this ribosomal RNA (265 nucleotides) under uncultured bacterium. Its description in RNAcentral is "partial 16S ribosomal RNA". It matches the Rfam family "Bacterial small subunit ribosomal RNA", at positions 88 to 354 of the family's 1533-position model. The record is from RNAcentral.